This 1346-nucleotide ribosomal RNA is filed under the name uncultured bacterium. Its description in RNAcentral is "bacterial SSU rRNA". It matches the Rfam family "Bacterial small subunit ribosomal RNA", at positions 28 to 1381 of the family's 1533-position model. The record is from RNAcentral.
GACGAACGCUGGCGGCGUGCUUAACACAUGCAAGUCGAACGGAAAGGCCCUGCUUUUGUGGGGUGCUCGAGUGGCGAACGGGUGAGUAACACGUGAGUAACCUGCCCUUGACUUUGGGAUAACUUCAGGAAACUGGGGCUAAUACCGGAUAGGAGCUCCUGCUGCAUGGUGGGGGUUGGAAAGUUUCGGCGGUUGGGGAUGGACUCGCGGCUUAUCAGCUUGUUGGUGGGGUAGUGGCUUACCAAGGCUUUGACGGGUAGCCGGCCUGAGAGGGUGACCGGCCACAUUGGGACUGAGAUACGGCCCAGACUCCUACGGGAGGCAGCAGUGGGGAAUAUUGCACAAUGGGCGGAAGCCUGAUGCAGCAACGCCGCGUGCGGGAUGACGGCCUUCGGGUUGUAAACCGCUUUCGCCUGUGACGAAGCGUGAGUGACGGUAAUGGGUAAAGAAGCACCGGCUAACUACGUGCCAGCAGCCGCGGUGAUACGUAGGGUGCGAGCGUUGUCCGGAUUUAUUGGGCGUAAAGGGCUCGUAGGUGGUUGAUCGCGUCGGAAGUGUAAUCUUGGGGCUUAACCCUGAGCGUGCUUUCGAUACGGGUUGACUUGAGGAAGGUAGGGGAGAAUGGAAUUCCUGGUGGAGCGGUGGAAUGCGCAGAUAUCAGGAGGAACACCAGUGGCGAAGGCGGUUCUCUGGGCCUUUCCUGACGCUGAGGAGCGAAAGCGUGGGGAGCGAACAGGCUUAGAUACCCUGGUAGUCCACGCUGUAAACGGUGGGUACUAGGUGUGGGGUCCAUUCCACGGGUUCCGUGCCGUAGCUAACGCUUUAAGUACCCCGCCUGGGGAGUACGGCCGCAAGGCUAAAACUCAAAGGAAUUGACGGGGCCCCGCACAAGCGGCGGAGCAUGCGGAUUAAUUCGAUGCAACGCGUAGAACCUUACCUGGGUUUGACAUGGAUCGGGAGUGCUCAGAGAUGGGUGUGCCUCUUUUGGGGUCGGUUCACAGGUGGUGCAUGCCUGUCGUCAGCUCGUGUCGUGAGAUGUUGGGUUAAGUCCCGCAACGAGCGCAACCCUUGUUCACUGUUGCCAGCACGUUAUGGUGGGGACUCAGUGGAGACCGCCGGGGUCAACUCGGAGGAAGGUGGGGAUGACGUCAAGUCCUCAUGCCCCUUAUGUCCAGGGCUUCACGCAUGCUACAAUGGCUGGUACAGAGAGUGGCGAGCCUGUGAGGGUGAGCGAAUCUCGGAAAGCCGGUCUCAGUUCGGAUUGGUGUCUGCAACUCGACCUCAUGAAGUCGGAGUCGCUAGUAAUCGCAGAUCAGCAACGCUGCGGUGAAUACGUUCCCGGGGCU